This 1002-nucleotide ribosomal RNA is filed under the name Apilactobacillus kunkeei. Its description in RNAcentral is "bacterial SSU rRNA". It matches the Rfam family "Bacterial small subunit ribosomal RNA", at positions 431 to 1428 of the family's 1533-position model. Lineage: Bacteria; Bacillati; Bacillota; Bacilli; Lactobacillales; Lactobacillaceae. The record is from RNAcentral.
CUCUGUUGUUAAAGAGACAAGUGUUAGAGUAACUGUUAACACUUUGACGGUAUUUAACCAGAAAGCCACGGCUAACUACGUGCCAGCAGCCGCGGUAAUACGUAGGUGGCGAGCGUUGUCCGGAUUUAUUGGGCGUAAAGCGAGCGCAGGCGGUUUUGUAAGUCUGCUGUGAAAGCCCUCAGCUCAACUGAGGAAGUGCAGUGGAAACUACAAAACUUGAGUACAGAAGAGGAAAGUGGAACUCCAUGUGUAGCGGUGAAAUGCGUAGAUAUAUGGAAGAACACCAGUGGCGAAGGCGGCUUUCUGGUCUGUUACUGACGCUGAGGCUCGAAAGCAUGGGUAGCGAACAGGAUUAGAUACCCUGGUAGUCCAUGCCGUAAACGAUGAAUACUAGGUGUUGGAGGGUUUCCGCCCUUCAGUGCCGCAGCUAACGCAUUAAGUAUUCCGCCUGGGGAGUACGACCGCAAGGUUGAAACUCAAAGGAAUUGACGGGGGCCCGCACAAGUGGUGGAGCAUGUGGUUUAAUUCGAUGCUACGCGAAGAACCUUACCAGCUCUUGACAUCUUCUGCCAACCCAAGAGAUUGGGCGUUCCCUUCGGGGACAGAAUGACAGGUGGUGCAUGGUUGUCGUCAGCUCGUGUCGUGAGAUGUUGGGUUAAGUCCCGCAACGAGCGCAACCCUUAUUAUUAGUUGCCAGCAUUUAGUUGGGCACUCUAGUGAGACUGCCGGUGAUAAACCGGAGGAAGGUGGGGACGACGUCAAAUCAUCAUGCCCCUUAUGAGCUGGGCUACACACGUGCUACAAUGGAUGGUACAACGAGUCGCGAAACCGCGAGGUCAAGCUAAUCUCUUAAAGCCAUUCUCAGUUCGGAUUGCAGGCUGCAACUCGCCUGCAUGAAGUUGGAAUCACUAGUAAUCGUGGAUCAGCAUGCCACGGUGAAUACGUUCCCGGGCCUUGUACACACCGCCCGUCACACCAUGAGAGUUUGUAACACCCAAAGAC